Molecule: ribosomal RNA, 1545 nt
Filed under: Salmonella enterica subsp. enterica
Lineage: Bacteria; Pseudomonadati; Pseudomonadota; Gammaproteobacteria; Enterobacterales; Enterobacteriaceae
Also listed under: 3 other names
Description: bacterial SSU rRNA
Rfam family: Bacterial small subunit ribosomal RNA
Source: RNAcentral
AAAUUGAAGAGUUUGAUCAUGGCUCAGAUUGAACGCUGGCGGCAGGCCUAACACAUGCAAGUCGAACGGUAACAGGAAGCAGCUUGCUGCUUUGCUGACGAGUGGCGGACGGGUGAGUAAUGUCUGGGAAACUGCCUGAUGGAGGGGGAUAACUACUGGAAACGGUGGCUAAUACCGCAUAACGUCGCAAGACCAAAGAGGGGGACCUUCGGGCCUCUUGCCAUCAGAUGUGCCCAGAUGGGAUUAGCUUGUUGGUGAGGUAACGGCUCACCAAGGCGACGAUCCCUAGCUGGUCUGAGAGGAUGACCAGCCACACUGGAACUGAGACACGGUCCAGACUCCUACGGGAGGCAGCAGUGGGGAAUAUUGCACAAUGGGCGCAAGCCUGAUGCAGCCAUGCCGCGUGUAUGAAGAAGGCCUUCGGGUUGUAAAGUACUUUCAGCGGGGAGGAAGGUGUUGUGGUUAAUAACCGCAGCAAUUGACGUUACCCGCAGAAGAAGCACCGGCUAACUCCGUGCCAGCAGCCGCGGUAAUACGGAGGGUGCAAGCGUUAAUCGGAAUUACUGGGCGUAAAGCGCACGCAGGCGGUCUGUCAAGUCGGAUGUGAAAUCCCCGGGCUCAACCUGGGAACUGCAUUCGAAACUGGCAGGCUUGAGUCUUGUAGAGGGGGGUAGAAUUCCAGGUGUAGCGGUGAAAUGCGUAGAGAUCUGGAGGAAUACCGGUGGCGAAGGCGGCCCCCUGGACAAAGACUGACGCUCAGGUGCGAAAGCGUGGGGAGCAAACAGGAUUAGAUACCCUGGUAGUCCACGCCGUAAACGAUGUCUACUUGGAGGUUGUGCCCUUGAGGCGUGGCUUCCGGAGCUAACGCGUUAAGUAGACCGCCUGGGGAGUACGGCCGCAAGGUUAAAACUCAAAUGAAUUGACGGGGGCCCGCACAAGCGGUGGAGCAUGUGGUUUAAUUCGAUGCAACGCGAAGAACCUUACCUGGUCUUGACAUCCACGGAAGUUUUCAGAGAUGAGAAUGUGCCUUCGGGAACCGUGAGACAGGUGCUGCAUGGCUGUCGUCAGCUCGUGUUGUGAAAUGUUGGGUUAAGUCCCGCAACGAGCGCAACCCUUAUCCUUUGUUGCCAGCGGUCCGGCCGGGAACUCAAAGGAGACUGCCAGUGAUAAACUGGAGGAAGGUGGGGAUGACGUCAAGUCAUCAUGGCCCUUACGACCAGGGCUACACACGUGCUACAAUGGCGCAUACAAAGAGAAGCGACCUCGCGAGAGCAAGCGGACCUCAUAAAGUGCGUCGUAGUCCGGAUUGGAGUCUGCAACUCGACUCCAUGAAGUCGGAAUCGCUAGUAAUCGUGGAUCAGAAUGCCACGGUGAAUACGUUCCCGGGCCUUGUACACACCGCCCGUCACACCAUGGGAGUGGGUUGCAAAAGAAGUAGGUAGCUUAACCUUCGGGAGGGCGCUUACCACUUUGUGAUUCAUGACUGGGGUGAAGUCGUAACAAGGUAACCGUAGGGGAACCUGCGGUUGGAUCACCUCCUUACCU